RNAcentral lists this transfer RNA (78 nucleotides) under Patescibacteria group bacterium. RNAcentral describes it as "tRNA-Ile". It matches the Rfam family "tRNA". From Rfam's summary of the family: Transfer RNA (tRNA) molecules are approximately 80 nucleotides in length. Their secondary structure includes four short double-helical elements and three loops (D, anti-codon, and T loops). The record is from RNAcentral.
GGUCUAUUAGCUCAUCCUGAGAAGAGCAGUCGGUCGAUAACCGACAGGUGAAAGGUUCAAGUCCUUUAUAGACCACCA